RNAcentral lists this ribosomal RNA (499 nucleotides) under uncultured bacterium. RNAcentral's name for it is "partial 16S ribosomal RNA". It matches the Rfam family "Bacterial small subunit ribosomal RNA", at positions 28 to 507 of the family's 1533-position model. The record is from RNAcentral.
GAUGAACGCUGGCGGCGUGCCUAAUACAUGCAAGUCGAGCGAACAGACGAGAGUGCUUGCACUCUCUGACGUUAGCGGCGGACGGGUGAGUAACACGUGGGUAACCUACCUAUAAGACUGGGAUAACUUCGGGAAACCGGAGCUAAUACCGGAUAAUAUUUAGCUUCGCAUGAAGCAAUAGUGAAAGACGGUUCUGCUGUCACUUAUAGAUGGACCCGCGGUGUAUUAGCUAGUUGGUGAGGUAACGGCUCACCAAGGCAACGAUACAUAGCCGACCGGCGAGGGGGAGCGGCCACACUGGGACUGAGACACGGCCCAGACUCCUACGGGAGGCAGCAGUAGGGAAUCGUCCGCAAUGGACGAAAGUCUGACGGAGCAAUGCCGCGUGAGUGAAGAAGGUUUUCGGAGCGUAAAACUCUGUUGUAAGGGAAGAACAAGUACGUUAGUAACUGAACGUACCUUGACGGUACCUUACCAGAAAGCCACGGCUAACUACGUG